AUUGAACGCUGGCGGCAGGCCUAACACAUGCAAGUCGAGCGGAUGAAGGGAGCUUGCUACUGGAUUCAGCGGCGGACGGUUGUGUAAUGCCUAGAAAUCUGCCUGGUAGUGGGGGAUAACGUUCGGUAACGGGAGCUCAUACCGCAUACGUAUUGAGGGAGAUAGCGGGGGAUCAUCGGACCUCACGCCUAUAGAUUAGCCUACGUCGGAUUUGCUAGGUGGUGGGGUAAAGGCCUACUAAGGCGACGAUCCGUAACUGGUCCGAGAGAAGGAUCAGACACACUGGAACUGGGACACGGUCCAAACUCCGACGGGAGGCAGCAGUGGGGAAUAUUGGACAAUGGGCAGAAGCCUGAUCCAGCCAUGCCGCGUGUGUGAAGAAGAUCUUCGGAUUGUAAAGCACGUUAAGUUGGGAGGAAGAGCAGUAAGUUAUAACCUAGCUGUUUUGACGUUACCAACAGAAUAAGCGCCGGCUAACUUCGUG
Molecule: ribosomal RNA, 484 nt
Filed under: uncultured bacterium
Lineage: Bacteria
Description: partial 16S ribosomal RNA
Rfam family: Bacterial small subunit ribosomal RNA
Source: RNAcentral